UUUCCGUAGGUGAACCUGCGGAAGGAUCAUUGUCGAAACCUGCAUAGCAGAACGACUCGUGGACAUGUUGAUCUGAUGGGUGUGGGGUUCGGGUGAAUUUAUCCCGUACUCCCCCGACGUCGUCCCGUGCAUGGAUUCUCCAUCCCUAUCCAAUGCUUAGGCGUGUUGGGUCUUGCGAUGAAUUUUUGUACGUGGUUGGCGGUAAUUACUAUGGACCCGGCGCGGACUGCGUCAAGGAAGCAAACAUAAGGAGCAUGCUCCUGGGGACUUCGUAUCGAUGUUCUCUAUGGAUGCGCCUCUAUAACAAAACAAUUAUAACGACUCUCGGCAACGGAUAUCUCGGCUCUCGCAUCGAUGAAGAACGCAGCGAAAUGCGAUACUUGGUGUGAAUUGCAGAAUCCCGUGAAUCAUCGAGUCUUUGAACGCAAGUUGCGCCCGAGGCCAUUUGGUCUAGGGCACGCCUGCCUGGGCGUCACACGUUGCGUUGCCUCUUAACCCUUUACCCAUGGGAUCGGGUUUGAUAUCGAGGCAGAUGUUGGCUUCCCGUGCAUCACCUGUACGGUUGGUUGAAAAAAGCAGUCUCCGUGGCACGUUUCUUGACGGUUGGUGGAUGACACAAAGUUUUGUCCCAUCGUCUUUUYAGUACYUUGGAGCAUAUUGCAAUGACCCCUAGAAUGUUGGCCAUUGUUCCUUCUGCGACCCC
RNAcentral lists this unclassified non-coding RNA (703 nucleotides) under Psittacanthus cucullaris. Its description in RNAcentral is "sequence contains ITS1, 5.8S rRNA gene, ITS2". The stretch from base 320 to 475 matches the Rfam family "5.8S ribosomal RNA". The record is from RNAcentral. Lineage: Eukaryota; Viridiplantae; Streptophyta; Magnoliopsida; Santalales; Loranthaceae.